Non-coding RNA from Podarcis lilfordi (Lilford's wall lizard), 71 nucleotides. The record is from the annotation of a GenBank genome assembly. Lineage: Eukaryota; Metazoa; Chordata; Lepidosauria; Squamata; Lacertidae.
GGGCCAUAGCUCAGUGGUAGUGCUUCUGUUUUGCACACAGAAGGUCCCUGGUUCAAUCCCCAGCAUCUCCA